GAUGAACGCUGGCGGCGUGCCUAAUACAUGCAAGUCGAACGCAGUGGGGACGGGUGAGUAACACGUGGGUAACCUCACAUCAGAGGGGAUAACACGUGGAAAUAGGUGCUAAACCGAUACUGAUGGAUGGACACGCGGUGCAUUAGCUAGUUGGGGAGGUAACGGCUCACCAAGGCCACGAUGCAAAGGCGACCUGGGAGGGGGGUCGGCCCAACUGGGAAUGGGAACCGGCCCAGACUCCUACCGGGGGCAGCAGUAGGGGAACUUCGGCAAUUGGGGGAAGUCUGACCGAGCCACGCCGGGGGGAUGGAUGAGGGUUUCGGGUCGUAAAGCUCUGUUGAUAGAGAAGCGGUAACUAACCAGAAAGGGACGGCUAACUACGUGCCAGCAGCCGCGGUAAUAC
Molecule: ribosomal RNA, 403 nt
Filed under: uncultured bacterium
Lineage: Bacteria
Description: partial 16S ribosomal RNA
Rfam family: Bacterial small subunit ribosomal RNA
Source: RNAcentral